RNAcentral lists this transfer RNA (73 nucleotides) under Flavobacteriales bacterium. RNAcentral describes it as "tRNA-Trp". It matches the Rfam family "tRNA". Rfam says of the family: Transfer RNA (tRNA) molecules are approximately 80 nucleotides in length. Their secondary structure includes four short double-helical elements and three loops (D, anti-codon, and T loops). The record is from RNAcentral. Lineage: Bacteria; Pseudomonadati; Bacteroidota; Flavobacteriia; Flavobacteriales.
ACGGGCGUAGCUCAGUUGGUAGAGCACCGGUCUCCAAAACCGAAGGUCGUAAGUUCGAGCCUUACCGCCCGUG